AUACGGAGGGUGCAAGCGUUGUUCGGAUUUAUUGGGCGUAAAGCGAGUGUAGGCGGUUUGGCAAGUCGAAUGUGAAAUCCCGAGGCCCAACCUCGGAACUGCAUCCGAAACUGUCAGGCUAGAGUCCCGGAGAGGGUGGCGGAAUUCCCGGUGUAGGGGUGAAAUCCGUAGAUAUCGGGAGGAACACCAGUGGCGAAGGCGGCCACCUGGACGGUGACUGACGCUGAGACUCGAAAGUGUGGGUAGCAAACAGGAUUAGAUACCCUAGUAGUCC
RNAcentral lists this ribosomal RNA (274 nucleotides) under uncultured bacterium. RNAcentral describes it as "partial 16S ribosomal RNA". It matches the Rfam family "Bacterial small subunit ribosomal RNA", at positions 523 to 796 of the family's 1533-position model. The record is from RNAcentral.